Molecule: ribosomal RNA, 591 nt
Filed under: uncultured fungus
Lineage: Eukaryota; Fungi
Description: eukaryotic LSU rRNA
Rfam family: 5.8S ribosomal RNA (bases 229-382)
Source: RNAcentral
CUUGGUCAUUUAGAGGAAGUAAAAGUCGUAACAAGGUUUCCGUAGGUGAACCUGCGGAAGGAUCAUUACUGGGUAAAGGCUUCGUGCCUCCAACCCCACCCUUUGUAACCGCGGCCCGGAUUCGGCGCCUGGACGGGGGGAUCCCUCUGUUCGCGGAGGCCCCUCGCCUGCCGGAAUCAGCCAACACUGCCUCAAAAAUUGAAGUCUGAGAACAAGUUAAUUAAACAAAACUUUCAACAACGGAUCUCUUGGUUCUGGCAACGAUGAAGAACGCAGCGAAAUGCGAUAAGUAAUGUGAAUUGCAGAAUUCAGUGAAUCAUCGAAUCUUUGAACGCACAUUGCGCCCCCUGGUAUUCCGGGGGGCACACCUGUUCGAGCGCCAUUUUCACCAUCGAGCCCUGCUCGGAGAUGGGCCUCGUCCUCGCGGACGGGCCCGAAACCCGUGGGCGCCAUUGUCUGGCCCUGAGCGUAGCAAGAGAAAUCCCUCGCUCGGUGGACCGUCCAGUGGCCGCCCCGACCAUUUUUUACAAGGUUGGCCUCGGAUCAGGUGGGGAUACCCGCUGAACCUUAAGCAUAUCAAUAAGCGGAGGA